Molecule: ribosomal RNA, 1365 nt
Filed under: Triticum aestivum (bread wheat)
Lineage: Eukaryota; Viridiplantae; Streptophyta; Magnoliopsida; Poales; Poaceae
Description: partial small subunit ribosomal RNA
Source: RNAcentral
GGAGAAAAAAAAAAGAUUGCACUCUCCUUGACGAGUCUGUGGCCACGCCUCCCGUCCCGCCACCGGGAAACCCAUCUCCACCGCAUCGGUCCGCUUGCUCUUGCUCGGCAUCCGCGGCCUGCCUUGCUCUCGGACAGGGUUUCGCCGCGUACACCUAGCCAUGGCCGCCUCGCUACCACGCCUCUCCCUCCCGCCGACGGCCGCUCUCCCUGCCGUCACCUCCUCUCGCUACCGCCCCGACCUCGCCCCCGUCCCCAACCGCCGCCGCCUCGGCCUCCGUCUCCACCGCUCCCCGGUGGUACCUGCAGCCGCCGCGAGCUCGCCGUCCCUUCUGUCUUCUUCACCGCAACCAGGGUCGGGUAUCGGUGAUGCCCUCGGUGGCGUCGCCAUCUUCUCCGCGGCCACCGGCGAGCCCGUCCUGAUCAGGGAUCUGUGGGACCAAAACGAGGGAAUGGCUGUCGUCGCGUUGCUAAGGCAUUUCGGAUGUCCUUGCUGCUGGGAGUUAGCCUUGACGUUGAAAGACGCGAAAGAAAGAUUUGAUUCUGCUGGCGUCAAACUAAUUGCUGUUGGUGUUGGCACUCCUGAUAAAGCCCGUAUUCUUGCUGAGCGUUUGCCCUUUCCAUUGGAUUACCUCUAUGCUGAUCCUGAGCGCAAGGCUUAUGAUCUCUUGGGCCUAUAUUUUGGUGUUGGGCGCACAUUCUUCAACCCAGCCAGUGUGAAAGUAUUUUCUCGGUUUGAUUCCCUCAAGGAGGCGACAAAGAACUAUACAAUCGAAGCCACCCCAGAUGACAGGCCAAGUGUCCUGCAACAGGGUGGAAUGUUCGUGUUCAAAGGGAAAGAACUGUUAUAUGCAAGGAAGGAUGAGGGCACAGGGGAUCAUGCACCAUUAGAUGAUGUCCUGAACAUCUGCUGUAAAGUUCCAGUAGCCUGAUGUCGAAUCCUACAAAUAGGCGCUUCUCGUAGAGACAUUUCAUAAGCUUGGCAUCAGAUGACUUUCGAGAUACUGGAUCCUGAUAAUGCUGCAUACCUGGCUACCUGGACAUCAUGCAAUUGGGCUGUACUAAUAUCAAGGAGGGCAAAUGCUACACAAGAUCUCCAAUGGUCAAAACCCCAGUCUCUGACCCACCCACCGCGUGGAGACCAAGGAAGCUGCUAUGUUGGAAGCCUUUUUUUGGGGGUCACACUGGAGCCCUCCAGGGAGGUUGAUGGCUUCAAAAGCCUUUUUGGAGUUACAUCUUGACACUUUUUUGUUUGUUUAAAAAUGAGGUUGGAAACCCCGGCCUCUGCAUCAAACGAUGCAUACAAUCAUCUUUAUUAAUUAUUUAAGAAAUGUUGACAAGAAAAUACAUCAAACCAUUCGAAGCC